UCUUCCCUCUUUCCUCGUGCUUCCCCCCUGCACGUCGACCGCUGAAGCUCAGCUUGCUGGGUGGAUUAGUGGCGAACGGGUGAGUAACACGUGAGUAACCUGCCCUUAACUCUGGGAUAAGCCUGGGAAACUAGGUCUAAUACCGGAUAGGAGCGCCUACCGCAUGGUGGGUGUUGGAAAGAUUUAUCGGUUUUGGAUGGACUCGCGGCCUAUCAGCUUGUUGGUGAGGUAAUGGCUCACCAAGGCGACGACGGGUAGCCGGCCUGAGAGGGUGACCGGCCACACUGGGACUGAGACACGGCCCAGACUCCUACGGGAGGCAGCAGUGGGGAAUAUUGCACAAUGGGCGAAAGCCUGAUGCAGCGACGCCGCGUGAGGGAUGACGGCCGUCGGGUUGUAAACCUCUUUCAGUAGGGAAGAAGCGAAAGUGACGGUACCUGCAGAAGAAGCACCGGCUAACUACGUG
This 466-nucleotide ribosomal RNA is filed under the name uncultured bacterium. Its description in RNAcentral is "partial 16S ribosomal RNA". It matches the Rfam family "Bacterial small subunit ribosomal RNA", at positions 36 to 507 of the family's 1533-position model. The record is from RNAcentral.